GAUGAACGCUGGCGGCGUGCCUAAUACAUGCAAGUCGAGCGAACAGAUAAGGAGCUUGCUCCUUUGACGUUAGCGGCGGACGGGUGAGUAACACGUGGGUAACCUACCUAUAAGACUGGAAUAACUCCGGGAAACCGGGGCUAAUGCCGGAUAACAUUUAGAACCGCAUGGUUCUAAAGUGAAAGAUGGUUUUACUAUCACUUAUAGAUGGACCCGCGCCGUAUUAGCUAGUUGGUAAGGUAACGGCUUACCAAGGCAACGAUACGUAGCUGACCUGAGAGGGUGAUCGGCCACACUGGAACUGAGACACGGUCCAGACUCCUACGGGAGGCAGCAGUAGGGAAUCUUCCGCAAUGGGCGAAAGCCUGACGGAGCAACGCCGCGUGAGUGAUGAAGGUCUUCGGAUCGUAAAACUCUGUUAUUAGGGAAGAACAAAUGUGUAAGUAACUGUGCACGUCUUGACGGUACCUAAUCAGAAAGCCACGGCUAACUACGUG
RNAcentral lists this ribosomal RNA (497 nucleotides) under uncultured bacterium. Its description in RNAcentral is "partial 16S ribosomal RNA". It matches the Rfam family "Bacterial small subunit ribosomal RNA", at positions 28 to 507 of the family's 1533-position model. The record is from RNAcentral.